AAUGAGGAGAGAAGAUCCAGGCAAGAAAGAUCAAGCACUCGCAUUGAUCGUGCUGUUGACACACCUGAUAACCAAAGGGUGCAUGAGAAAAAGCAUAAAGAUAACAUGAGAAAGCAUAAAGAAUUUGAGGGGGGUGAUCACAACUCUUGGGGCCCUUCUAGAAGAAAUCAAGGGGAUCAGAGUGGUCACACUGAUGAGAUGGUAUGUUCCAUAUUCAAAACAAUAGCAUGAACUCCUAAUGGGAAGGAUGUCCUCCCUCAUAAGUUAGAGUAAUUGACAAAUGACCUGACACAAUAAAAAUUGAGUUCUCAAGCUGAAAUUGUUACUUUUUUGAACCCC
Molecule: unclassified non-coding RNA, 339 nt
Filed under: Hevea brasiliensis (rubber tree)
Lineage: Eukaryota; Viridiplantae; Streptophyta; Magnoliopsida; Malpighiales; Euphorbiaceae
Source: RNAcentral